ACGUCAAAUCAUCAUGCCCCUUAUGUCUUGGGCUACACACGUGCUACAAUGGCUCGAACAAAGUGAAGCGAUACCGCAAGGAGGAGCAAAUCACAAAAACGAGUCUCAGUUCGGAUUGCGGGCUGCAACCCGCCCGCAUGAAGUUGGAAUCGCUAGUAAUCGCAAAUCAGCAUGUUGCGGUGAAUACGUUCCCGGGUCUU
Molecule: ribosomal RNA, 200 nt
Filed under: uncultured prokaryote
Description: partial 16S ribosomal RNA
Rfam family: Bacterial small subunit ribosomal RNA
Source: RNAcentral